RNAcentral lists this ribosomal RNA (377 nucleotides) under uncultured cyanobacterium. RNAcentral describes it as "bacterial SSU rRNA". It matches the Rfam family "Bacterial small subunit ribosomal RNA", at positions 376 to 770 of the family's 1533-position model. Lineage: Bacteria; Bacillati; Cyanobacteriota. The record is from RNAcentral.
CGCAAGCCUGACGGAGCAAGACCGCGUGGGGAUGACGGCCUAAUGGUUGUAAACCCCUUUUCUCUGGGAAGAAGACUGACGGUACCAGAGGAAUCAGCCUCGGCUAACUCCGUGCCAGCAGCCGCGGUAAUACGGAGGAGGCAAGCGUUAUCCGGAAUUAUUGGGCGUAAAGCGUCCGUAGGUGGUUAUUCAAGUCUGCUGUCAAAGCGUGGGGCUUAACUCCAUAGAGGCAGUGGAAACUGGAUGACUUGAGUGCGGUAGGGGUCGAGGGAAUUCCCAGUGUAGCGGUGAAAUGCGUAGAUAUUGGGAAGAACACCAGUGGCGAAAGCGCUCGACUGGGCCUGCACUGACACUGAGGGACGAAAGCUAGGGGAGCG